Malania oleifera is the source of this 5929-nucleotide RNA transcript. It is a transcript of the gene named disease resistance protein RGA2-like, with no coding region annotated. The record is from RefSeq and is a predicted model, not a curated record. The transcript is spliced from 5 exons. Lineage: Eukaryota; Viridiplantae; Streptophyta; Magnoliopsida; Santalales; Ximeniaceae.
ACAAAAGUCUUCAAUUCUUUCCCUUUCCUCCUCUUCCCCCACCCGACCUGAAGAAGAAAGGCAGCUUCCCCCGCCUGACCUGAAGAUGCGAGGUAGCUUCCCCCACCUCACCCUUAUCUUUGAAUAACAUUUCAAAGGAAGAUGCAAGCCUCAGUUGGGCGAUCCUAUUCCUGCUGCUCUCUAUUUCCUUAUAAAUCUGCUCCAUUUUUCUCACACCUCUUUUAAGAUCGCGUAUCAAAACCUCCUCUGCAAAAGAAUUCCAAUUACCAGAAUGAUGCAGGAACCCUCGCAUAUUUGACACCGUACCCGAGCGCCGACACGGCGCGUCGCUUCGGGACGACGACCUAGCCCACCCUCGCCCACUUUUCGCUACACCCGGGUGGUUCAACUGCAACGCGUCGUUCGUAGGGGACGCCCCAGUAAAUAUUCGCUUGGAUAUCACUUUUAUCACUUGGACUGCUGCUCCAUCUCAAAGUAAUCUUCACACAAAAUCAUCACCGAUGGCUGAAGCAAUUUUGUUCGGUUUGGCUGAGACCCUCCUUGAAAAGUUGGGCCUUCGGGCUUUUCAAGAGAUUGGAUUGGCAUGGGCUGUCAAAGACGAAGUUCAAAAACUUAAUCACAUCGUUUUCAUACUCAAGAACGUGCUUUUGGAUGCGGAGGAGCAAAGUAGCCAUAACCGUAUGAUCACAACUUGGCUUCGAGAGCUUCAAGAUGUAGUUUACGAUGCAGAAGAUUUGCUCGACGAUGUCUCUACCACAGCUUUGCAACAAAAGGUGAUAACCCAAAAGAAACUCGCGAGAAAGCUGCACCUUUUCUUUUCGAGCUACAAUCCGAUUGUGUUUGGUCUGAAGAUGGGUCAUAGGAUUAAGGCUAUUAGGGAGAGAUUGGAUGAACAUGCAAAGCUUAAGAACAAUUUCAACUUAACUGAUCAAUCCACGGAGUCCAGACUACUUAAAUAUAGGGAGAGGGAGCAAACUCAUUCCCUUUUUCCUCAAGAAAAAGUUAUUGGGAGGGAAGAUGACAAAAAUAAAAUAGUGGAUCGUUUACUGGACAGUAAUCCUGUUGCUGUUGAAGAUAAGUUUUCAGUCAUUCCAAUUGUUGGAAUGGGGGGCCUAGGAAAGACUACUCUUGCUCAAUAUGUGUACAAUGAUGAGAAAUUUGGAGAACAUUUUGCGCUAAAAAUGUGGGUUUGUGUGUCAACUGAUUUUAAUAUGAAGAGAAUUGUUGAAAAUAUUUUAGAAUCUGCAACUAAGAAGAAAACUGAGGGGGGCCUUCAGAUGGAUACACUGCAAGAUUGCCUUCGGAAAGAAGUUGGUGGUAAGAAAUACUUGCUUGUUUUAGACGAUGUUUGGAAUGAGGAUCAUACAUUGUGGGACAAACUAAAAGAUUUGUUAAAUGUAUGUGCAAGUGGAAGUAAGAUUAUAGUAACAACUCGGAGCCAUAGGGUUGCAGAAAUCACAAGCCCCGUUGAACCAUAUGUUUUAGAAGGUCUUGAUGAGCAGAGGUCAUGGGAAUUGUUUAAGAAAAAGGCAUUUAAACCAGGAGAGGAGCCACAAAACCAAGUGGAAAUUGGGAAGGAGAUUGUAAGAAAGUGUUCAGGCGUUCCUCUUGCCAUACGGACUUUGGCAAGCUUAUUGCCCAACAAAGAUACCAAAUACUGGGAAUCCAUUAAAAAUAAAGAAUUUUCAAAAAUAGCCCAAAAAGAAAAUGAUAUUAUACCUAUCCUGAGAUUUAGCUAUGAUGAGCUCCCAUCAUAUUUAAAGCACUGCUUUGCUUACUGCUCAGUAUAUCCCAAAGAUUUUGAAAUUGAGAAGCAAACCUUGAUCCAACUUUGGAUGGCAAACGGUUUUCUUCGUUCACAGGAUGGAAAACAAUGUGCAGAAGAAAUUGGGGAUCAAUAUUUUACGGAGCUAUUAAGGAGGUCCUUUUUUCAAGAUGUACAAAGAAAGAAAUGGGAUGAUGAUAUAGAGAGUUAUAAAAUGCAUGAUCUGAUGCACGACCUUGCAGAAUUGGUUGCUGGGGAAGGAAUUUGUCGUGGGAGCUCAGAGGCAGCAAAUAUUAUAGAAAAGACACGUCACCUGUCAUUCCCUUAUGAGUCGGAAAGUUAUUCGACGGAAAUUCCAUCUACACUGUUCAAUGCAGGUACAUGUCUCCGAACGUUACUUUUGCCAUCCUCCAUAAAAGUGAACGAAACAUGUCUCCGAAAGAUUAUUUCGAGAUUCAGGUGCCUACGCGUGUUGGAUUUGCAUGACCUGUGGAUCGAAAUGUUACCAGGUUCAAUUGGGAAGUUGAAGCAACUAAGGUAUCUUGACCUUUCUUGCUGCCGCAGUAUGAAACGACUCCCUGAAUCUAUUACCCGCCUGGUGAAUUUACAGACGCUGAAGCUCUCUUCGUGUGAGGAACUCGAAGAAUUGCCGAGGGAUAUUGAGAAUUUAGUCAACUUGGUGCAUCUUGAUUUGGAUGAGUGUUGUAGUUUGAGACGUAUGCCGCGCGGAGUGGGGCAGUUGGAGCAACUAAGGUAUCUUGACCUUUCUCGCUGCCGCAGUAUGAAACGACUCCCUGAAUCUAUUACCCGCCUGGUGAAUUUACAGACGCUGAAGCUCUCUUGGUGUGAGGAACUCGAAGAAUUGCCGAGGGAUAUUGAGAAUUUAGUCAACUUGGUGCAUCUUGAUUUGGAUGGGUGUUCUAGUUUGAGACGUAUGCCGCGCGGAGUGGGGCAGUUGAAGCAACUAAGGUAUCUUGACCUUUCUUGCUGCCGCAGUAUGAAACGACUCCCUGAAUCUAUUACCCGCCUGGUGAAUUUACAGACGCUGAAGCUCUCUUGGUGUGAGGAACUCGAAGAAUUGCCGAGGGAUAUUGAGAAUUUAGUCAACUUGGUGCAUCUUGAUUUGGCUGAGUGUUUUAGUUUGAGACGUAUGCCGCGCGGAGUGGGGCAGUUGGAGCAACUAAGGUAUCUUGACCUUUCUUGCUGCCGCAGUAUGAAACGACUCCCUGAAUCUAUUACCCGCCUGGUGAAUUUACAGACGCUGAAGCUCUCUUCGUGUGAGGAACUCGAAGAAUUGCCGAGGGAUAUUGAGAAUUUAGUCAACUUGGUGCAUCUUGAUUUGGAUGAGUGUUCUAGUUUGAGACGUAUGCCGCGCGGAGUGGGGCAUUUGAAGCAACUAAGGUAUCUUGACCUUUCUUGCUGCCGCAGUAUGAAACGACUCCCUGAAUCUAUUACCCGCCUGGUGAAUUUACAGACGCUGAAGCUCUCUUCGUGUGAGGAACUCGAAGAAUUGCCGAGGGAUAUUGAGAAUUUAGUCAACUUGGUGCAUCUUGAUUUGGGUGGGUGUUCUAGUUUGAGACGUUUGCCGCGCGGAGUGGGGCAGUUGAGGCAACUAAGGUAUCUUGACCUUUCUUGCAACCACAGUAUGAAACGACUCCCUGAAUCUAUUACCCGCCUGGUGAAUUUACAGACGCUGAAGCUCUCUUGGUGUGAGGAACUCGAAGAAUUGCCGAGGGAUAUUGAGAAUUUAGUCAACUUGGUGCAUCUUGAUUUGGAUAAGUGUUUUAGUUUGAGACGUAUGCCGCAAGGAGUGGGGCAGUUGUCUAACCUUCGAACGUUGAAUCGGUUUGUGGUGGGCGAGAAUGCAACCACAAGCGGUGUACUCAGCGAGUUGAAAGGGUUAAAUAAUCUGGAAGGGGAGUUGAAGAUUGUAAUCAGGAGAAGGAUAAAAAGUGCAGAAGCAUCGGAAGCGAAUUUGAAGGAGAAGCAACACCUUCGACGCCUGGAAUUGGAGUUGAGGCAACAAAGCAAUGAGGAUGGGGAGGAGGAUGAUUAUGAAUCAGUGUUGGAAGGCCUUCAGUCGCCCCCAAAUCUGAGAGAAUUGGAGAUAAGAGGGUACGGUGGGAGAAGGUGGCCAGAUGGGAUGCGUUGCCUCACCUCUCUUCAAAAAUUGUGGAUUGACCAGUGCCCUAGUCUAUUGAGCUGGGGAGACGAGGAAAGGUUCAGAGGCUUAACGUCUCUCGAGACGCUCUGUAUCGAGGGAUGUGAUGUUCUCAAGGCUUUGCCUGUUCGAGGUAUUCAACAUCUAAUUUCCCUGAAGAAGCUUCAUAUUUCAAAUUGCAUAGAGAUGGAAUUGUUAGAUGAUGAUGAUGAUGGCAAGCAAUGGGAGAACCUCAACAAAAGUCUCCGGGAAGUGAGAAUUGAAGGAAUUCCAAAGAUGGUGCGUCUGCCUAGGUGGCUUCAGCAUUGCACAUCUCUGCAGGCUUUAUGGAUUGAAAAAUGCAGGGGUUUGAGGAAUUUACCAGAGUGGAUGGGCAACCUCACUUCGCUUCAAAAGCUUCGCCUAUGGGAAUGCCCCCAACUAGAAUCACUGCCGGAUGGGAUGCGUUGCCUCACCUCUCUUCAACAAUUGUGGAUUUUCGGAUGCCCACUUUUAGAGAAAAGAUGCGAAAAAGAAACAGGGGAGGAUUGGCCCAAGAUCGCUCACGUCCCCACAAUUUGGAUUCAUUCCAAGUGCCAAUAGUUAUAUGGUGACGUGCACCCUCUUCCAAAUUUGGAUUGUUUCCUAACGGCCAAGCCAAUAGUCCACUAGCUUUCCCAGCGGAACACCCCGUACGAUCCCAUGCAUGUGCGUCCAUUGCAGCCGACGCCGGCCGUGUCGCCUACACCCUCGAAUGAAGCCAUUAACCCUCCAAGUGAUCGAUCCGACGGCUGAGAUUGCUGGUUUCAAACACGUGGUGGACGAUCGGCUUUAUUGGACCCAACCUGGGCUCCUUUGCUUUUUUCAAUCAAAGGACAGCAGACUUUAUUUUGUCGUGUCAAGUGUACCCGCCAUAGGAAAACAAAAACGGGUGCCCCGAGUGGCCGCGGGCCCCACACCCGAGACGCGGGCGCCCCAAGUGGUGAAUAUCCUAUGGUCAGGAGGCUAGUGGCGCUGACACGUUUCAAUAGUUAUUAUGUCUUAAAAUUCAAGGCUUUGUAUUGAGGGAUGUGAUGGUCUCAAGGCUUUGCCUGUUCGAGGUAUUCAACAUCUAAUUUACCUGAAGAAGCUUCAUAUUUCAAAUUGCAUAGAGAUGGAAUUGUUAGAUGAUGAUGAUGAUGGCAAGCAAUGGGAGAACCUCAACAAAAGUCUCCGGGAAGUGAGAAUUGAAGAAAUUCCAAAGAUGGUGCGUCUGCCUAGGUGGCUUCAGCAUUGCACAUCUCUGCAAGCUUUACGGAUUGAAAAAUGCAGGGGUUUGAGGAAUUUACCAGAGUGGAUGGGCAACCUCACUUCGCUUCAAGAGCUUCGUCUACAGGAAUGCCCCCAACUAGAAUCACUGCCGGAUGGGAUGCGUUGCCUCACCUCUCUUCAACAGUUGGAUAUUUAUGAAUGCCCACUUUUAAAGAAAAGAUGCGAAAAAGAAACAGGGGAGGACUGGCUCACGUCCCCAAAAUACAUAUAUGGUGACGUGCACCCUCUUCCAAAUUUGGAUUGUUUCCAAACGGCCAAGCCAAAAGGAUGCCACAAAGGCUAGUGACAUGACUAGUUAUGGAAGAUGGUGUUCGUUUCUUCAACCUGGGUUGUAUUAGUGUAAGGAUGGUGGUUUUUUAGAAGAUCUUGUUUGUGCACAUUACGAUCUUAGACAUUGUUGAUGUGGCGCUGGGGGCAACAUGCCAUGCCAUUGAGGAAUUUGGAUUUUUGGAAGGAGGUUUGAUCUAUGUGUAUCUCAACUUUCUGUUAUUCUGCAUUCUGCAGCUAAUGUUUUUGUAGCUUACAAGGAACAACAAAUAGAGUGAGACAAAUUCCUUUGUACCAAAUUGUAUGCCACUUUCAUUCUUACCUAUUAAGGUUAGGAAAGAGUUGAAUGCUCCUUUCUCCAUAAUGUACCUUGUCUCCCAUCUCUUGUCUUCACAAUGAAUAAUGCAUAACUCAAAUGGCAGCAUACAUGUCAACUAUUAAAUUUA